GCGUAACGCGUAUACAAUCUACCUUUAGCUGAGGGAUAGCCCAGAGAAAUUUGGAUUAAUACCUCAUGGUAUCUUUUUAUAGCAUUAUGAGAAGAUUAAAGAUUACGGCAAAAGAUGAGUAUGCGUCCUAUUAGCUAGAUGGUGUGGUAACGGCACACCAUGGCAACGAUAGGUAGGGGCCCUGAGAGGGGGAUCCCCCACACUGGUACUGAGACACGGACCAG
RNAcentral lists this ribosomal RNA (224 nucleotides) under uncultured bacterium. RNAcentral describes it as "partial 16S ribosomal RNA". It matches the Rfam family "Bacterial small subunit ribosomal RNA", at positions 108 to 334 of the family's 1533-position model. The record is from RNAcentral.